This 72-nucleotide transfer RNA is filed under the name Bos taurus (domestic cattle). It matches the Rfam family "tRNA". From Rfam's summary of the family: Transfer RNA (tRNA) molecules are approximately 80 nucleotides in length. Their secondary structure includes four short double-helical elements and three loops (D, anti-codon, and T loops). Further hydrogen bonds mediate the characteristic L-shaped molecular structure. tRNAs have two regions of fundamental functional importance: the anti-codon, which is responsible for specific mRNA codon recognition, and the 3' end, to which the tRNAs corresponding amino acid is attached (by aminoacyl-tRNA synthetases). tRNAs cope with the degeneracy of the genetic code in two manners: having more than one tRNA (with a specific anti-codon) for a particular amino acid; and 'wobble' base-pairing, i.e. permitting non-standard base-pairing at the 3rd anti-codon position. The record is from Rfam by way of RNAcentral. RNAcentral also lists the same sequence under 1 other name. Lineage: Eukaryota; Metazoa; Chordata; Mammalia; Artiodactyla; Bovidae.
UCCCUGGUGGUCUAGUGGUUAGGAUUCUAGGCUUUAAAUGCCGUGACCCAGGUUCAAUCCCUGGUUGGGGAA